GAAUUCAUAUAUGCCAUGACAUUUCCACUGUUGAGUUUUGGAGAACAGUGCUUAACUAAUAUGCAGCAAGAAGAGUGCUGGUGGCAAAGUACUCUGUGUUCCCCUUUAUUUCCAAGUUCUCAGUGCGGAGGAAGCAGUAAUGUAUGAUUCUUCUGCUGAGCGUGGAGGCAUACCAAUGCUAAUUUCCUCCUAUCACUUUCAACCAAAACCCAGAGGAGGGAUAGGAGGACCCUUACAAGAACAGUGAGACCAGGGCAUAUCACCAAGAUGAAAGCAUAAAGAGAGGAAAACAUGGCAAUAGGUUGAACGUACAGUUAGCUGAUUCUGGUCAACAGCAUUUAUUAUAGACUUGUUUUCAGUCUGUUAAUUCCAAGUUUGAUCAAUUUUGAAAAGAAUAAAAAAGGCAUAGCUAAGCAUUAAGAUUGUUCUUUAAUUUACCCCUUAUAGAUUUUAGCUUCACUUUUAUGUUUGAUCUGGGAUACACUAUAACUGUGGUCCUACUGAUUGUGCAUGUGCUUGUGAACCUAGUCUCAGUCCUUCUAAUAGUCUAAGUUUCUGUGACCGAACUAUGAAUACUCAGAAGUCAGGUUGAAAGCACUACGAUUGCGACACCCCCUUCCCUAAUCAGAUAAUUUAGCAUUGUUCUUAUUUUUUCCUUUUAAAUGACUUGUAGAGGAUAGAGUUGUGUGAGGUUUGGUGUGUUGAAAGAAAAAGUGCUUUUGCUCUUUUGCCCCCCCCCCCCCACACACACAUUUGUUUUGUCACAUACAUUUUUUGUUUCUUCCCUUUUAUUUCAAUGCAGCUUUGAAAGCAUCUUAAAGAAAUAAAGCAGGGUAAUAUGUUGGUGUAAUAAUACAAUAAGCAAAAAAACAAACAAUUAAAACGGCUAAAACAGAAGGCUCAAUGAAGAAAUAACCCCCUUGUCCUUGAAAUUCGAAGUUGCUUUCUUUGCUCGAGUUUCUUUUUUAAUACAGCCAUUGUGAUAAAUGUUUUACCAUUUGCUAGGCUAUUUUGUCCACUUCAGGUAAAUUUUUUUUCUCUUCUUUUUAUCCAUAUGUCAGAUAGCUUGAUUUGCAAAGUCACCUUUCCUAAAAGUACAUUUUGGAAAGUGUCGUGGUUUCAAAGGACAGUUUACAUUUUCCUGAAUACAAGUAUAGCAAGAUAUCUGGAAAGCAUGUGAAAUAUAAAUGCUGCAGAUAAAGGGUACAAGGAAAUUAAAUUUUUAUUUGGGGGGGGUGUAACUGAAUAUUUUGACCCAACUAUACAACUUCAUGUUAGUUGUUUCUAUGUCUUUAAAACUAUACAGUUUACACCAUACAGUUGAUCGAAUCUAUCAGUUGCAGCUUGAUAUUGUAGACAUAAUUUUGUGUGUUGUUUCUUUAAGUUUAGUGUAAAUUUAACGUAUUUCAUUGAAAUUUCAUCCUCUUCUUUACACAACAAAAUUGUGACUACUGAUGAUUUGUAAUAUGGCUUCAUUGUUUUUAUUUAUUUUUAUUUUUUUACAUGAAAAGAAUUGAGUGUUUCCAGUAAUGGCAGUUUAUUGCUUGAAGGUUGGUUCUUUUCAUGUACUUUUCCAUCUAAUUGUUUCAGAAAUAUGUGGCUGUUUCAUUGUGUGCUGAUGCAUCAUACUAAAGGGGUGUAUAAAAGCAAUCUAAUAUUUUGGCACACCAUAAUUCUACAACCUUACAAUAUUAAUGUUUGUUUGUGUUAAAAAAAAUAUAUAUACAUAGGGUUUAUUUGUGACAUAUGUCCCCACACUGCAUAAGGCCCAAAUUACUUUACCUACAAAGUUUGAUAAGUUGCUUGCCUAUAUAAUUUCUUUUGUGGCUUUGGAGUGAGAGGUGGUAGGGAUAUGGUGUUCAUAAUGAAAAAUCCAGUCCAUCGUAAAUUUAAUUUUUGCUCUAAUACCAUCUUAUCCAUUCACUUUCGUCUUCUUCACUCUAAUGGAUGUGUAGCUUUCCAUCUGCUAGCUUAAAUUUAACCUGGAUGGGUAUUUUCCCCGAUUCAGUUUUUUGUUACAGAUGUUAGCAUGAGAAGUUACUACAUGUAUGCUACAUCAGCAGAGUGUAAAUUGCUACGAUGUGUGAAAUUUGGCGACAUUUGCUUUUUUAGAGCACCCUCAAACGGUUUUUUUUUUUUUUUUUUUUUUU
Sinocyclocheilus anshuiensis is the source of this 2150-nucleotide long non-coding RNA. RefSeq lists it as uncharacterized. The record is from RefSeq and is a predicted model, not a curated record. The transcript has 3 exons. NCBI's taxonomy places the organism in Eukaryota, Metazoa, Chordata, Actinopteri, Cypriniformes, Cyprinidae.